RNAcentral lists this ribosomal RNA (500 nucleotides) under uncultured bacterium. Its description in RNAcentral is "partial 16S ribosomal RNA". It matches the Rfam family "Bacterial small subunit ribosomal RNA", at positions 29 to 523 of the family's 1533-position model. The record is from RNAcentral.
AUUGAACGCUGGCGGCAUGCCUUACACAUGCAAGUCGAACGGCAGCACGGGAGCAAUCCUGGUGGCGAGUGGCGAACGGGUGAGUAAUAUAUCGGAACGUGCCCAGUCGUGGGGGAUAACGCAGCGAAAGCUGUGCUAAUACCGCAUACGAUCUAAGGAUGAAAGCGGGGGAUCGCAAGACCUCGCGCGAUUGGAGCGGCCGAUAUCAGAUUAGCUAGUUGGUGGGGUAAAGGAUCACCAAGGCGACGAGCUGUAGCUGGUCUGAGAGGACGACGAGCCGCACUGGAACUGAGACACGGUCCAGACUCGUACGGGAGGGAGCAGUGGGGAAUUUUGGACAAUGGGCGCAAGCCUGAUCCAGCAAUGCCGCGUGCAGGAUGAAGGCCUUCGGGUUGUAAACUGCUUUUGUACGGAACGAAACGGCCCUUUCUAAUACAGGGGGCUAAUGACGGUACCGUAAGAAUAAGCACCGGCUAACUACGUGCCAGCCGCCGCCGUAA